GACAUGGAUGAGUAUGUUUUACGAUUGGAUAUUUUUCUUGCUUGGUUACUUGGAAGAAAUGUUAUAGUACCCUUCUCUGAUCGAAAGAAAUUUCUAGUAAAAAAAAAAAACAGAUAACAAAAUCUAGUCCUAGUAUUGUAGUAUUGUUGUAUGCUUUGGAGUUGAAGGUGCACAUUUUUAGAAUAAUGUAUGGGUUUGUCUGGACGCAUGCUUUCUUCUGGAAGGAAAGCAUUGAUGUAUGUGAAUGAAGGUGUGAAAGAAUUAACUAGUGGUCUUAGA
Molecule: unclassified non-coding RNA, 279 nt
Filed under: Hevea brasiliensis (rubber tree)
Lineage: Eukaryota; Viridiplantae; Streptophyta; Magnoliopsida; Malpighiales; Euphorbiaceae
Source: RNAcentral